RNAcentral lists this ribosomal RNA (112 nucleotides) under Caerostris extrusa. The record is from RNAcentral. Lineage: Eukaryota; Metazoa; Arthropoda; Arachnida; Araneae; Araneidae.
AACGACGAUACCAUGCUGAAUAUACCGGUUCUCGUUAGAUCACCGAAGUCAAGCAUCAUUGGGCGCGGUCUGUACUUGGGUGGGUGACCACCUGGGAACACCGCGUGCCGUU